This 484-nucleotide ribosomal RNA is filed under the name uncultured bacterium. RNAcentral describes it as "partial 16S ribosomal RNA". It matches the Rfam family "Bacterial small subunit ribosomal RNA", at positions 29 to 507 of the family's 1533-position model. The record is from RNAcentral.
AUCGAACGCUGGCGGCAGGCCUAACACAUGCAAGUCGAGCGGAUGAAGGGAGCUUGCUCCUGGAUUCAGCGGCGGACGGGUGAGUAAUGCCUAUGAAUCUGCCUGGUAGUGGGGGAUAACGUCCGGAAACGGGCGCUAAUACCGCAUACGUCCUGAGGGAGAAAGUGGGGGAUCUUCGGACCUCACGCUAUCAGAUGAGCCUAGGUCGGAUUAGCUAGUUGGUGGGGUAAAGGCCUACAAAGGCGGCGAUCCGUAACUGGUCUGAGAGGAUGAUCAGUCACACUGGAACUGAGAAAGGGUCCAGACUCCUGCGGGAAGAAGCAGUGGAGAAUAUUAGGCGAUGGGGGAGAGCGGGAUCCAGGCAUGCCGCGUGUGUGAAGAAGGACUUCGGAUGGUAGAGCACUUAAAGUUGGGGGGAAGGGCAGUACGUUAAUACCGUGCUGUAUUGACGGUACCAGCAGAAUAAGCACCGGCUAACUUCGUG